AACUCUGCGCACUGGAGAUAUCGUACCUAAUGAGGAACGUCCGAGGUGGGAUUAUUGCUAAUUGAAGAAAUCAAUUGAUUACUAAGCCAACGGCAGUCCUACUGGAACUGAAAACUGGAAUACUGAAAAGUUUGAAAACAAA
Small nuclear RNA from Toxorhynchites rutilus septentrionalis, 142 nucleotides. RefSeq annotates it as U4 spliceosomal RNA. The record is from RefSeq and is a predicted model, not a curated record. The transcript has a single exon. NCBI's taxonomy places the organism in Eukaryota, Metazoa, Arthropoda, Insecta, Diptera, Culicidae.